UGGGGAAUAUUGCGCAAUGGGCGAAAGCCUGACGCAGCGACGCCGCGUGGAGGAUGAAGGUCUUAGGAUUGUAAACUCCUGUCAGAUGGGAAGAAAGGUUUACGUCUAAUAAAUGUAAAAUAUGACGGUACCAUCAGAGGAAGCACCGGCUAACUUCGUGCCAGCAGCCGCGGUAAUACGAAGGGUGCGAGCGUUAUUCGGAAUCACUGGGCGUAAAGGGUGCGUAGAUGGUGUGUUAAGUUUGUUGUUAAAGGCUUCGGCCUAACUGGAGUAUUGCAAUGAAAACUGGCGCGCUAGAGGGUGAGAGAGAGAAGUGGAAUUCCCGGAGUAGCGGUAAAAUGCGUGGAUCUCGGGAGGAACACCAAUGGCGAAGGCAGCUUCUUGGCUCAUUCCUGACAUUGAGGCACGAAAGCGUGGGGAGCAAACAGGAUUAGAUACCCCCGUAGUCC
RNAcentral lists this ribosomal RNA (449 nucleotides) under uncultured bacterium. RNAcentral's name for it is "bacterial SSU rRNA". It matches the Rfam family "Bacterial small subunit ribosomal RNA", at positions 355 to 796 of the family's 1533-position model. The record is from RNAcentral.